RNAcentral lists this long non-coding RNA (313 nucleotides) under Prunus dulcis (almond). Its description in RNAcentral is "sRNA ncRNA". The record is from RNAcentral. Lineage: Eukaryota; Viridiplantae; Streptophyta; Magnoliopsida; Rosales; Rosaceae.
AGAUUGUGCCACCUGCCCAAUCUUCCCAAAGCCAUCUCUCUCCUGCUGGUUGAAAGCAAAGCUCAGUUUUUUCAUUCUCUCUCCUCAUACACUCGCAGAAUCCGGCCUUCCACUGUAAGAUCAACUGAAACUGUUCAAGAAAAGGUCCAAGUUUUUCGUUCUCUCCCACUCGAAUUCAACACAUUCAAACAAAAAAACCCAGAGAAACCAGUGGUUCCUCACUGUUGUUCCCAUGGAUGCAAUCAAGGUGGUCAUGCAAACCAGCAGGUCGACAAUGAUUAAAAUGAAAGUUCUACCAUGGGUUUCUUGUUGA